Molecule: long non-coding RNA, 933 nt
Filed under: Numida meleagris (helmeted guineafowl)
Lineage: Eukaryota; Metazoa; Chordata; Aves; Galliformes; Numididae
Description: lncRNA (ENSNMEG00000003459.1)
Source: RNAcentral
CUCUAAAGUGAAUACAGUCACUGGAAGCAGAUUUGAGUCCCACAGCAAACACAUAAGCUUUCCACUGUUAAAUUCUCCUCUGCUUCUUUGAAAACCUAAGUGGAAAACUGUGAACAGUGCUUCAUCCUCAUGUAUCAGCAUUUUCUGUUUUCUGUCUGCUGUUCGGACACAGCUUCAUCCUCGUAUAUCAGUACAUUUUCUGCCUGCUGUUUGGACAGGACUCAACCAUGCUGAAACGGUGUGCGCAGAUGUGAGGCCAACAGCAGAGGCAGAAAGGCUUUGUCAACACCAGCAAAUCACUGAUUCUACCUCUGCAAGGUCAGCUUCUGAAGGCAACGUGUCUAAGACCACGGCUCCACAACCGAAACAACGAACAGCCACCAUUGCUUCAUUGACUUCAGCUGAAAUUUCAGAGUGAUGUUUUGGAAAACCAUUUCUCUCUUAUGACAAAGAUGUUUAUCUAAGAUAGAGUGGUAUUCUGUAGCCCAUGCAUAAGCUAGAAAAGCCUUCAGUAACUGAGUACAAGAGCAAGUGAACAUCUGUAGUUGUUAAUGUGCCAAUUGCUAGUUGUAAUCUCCACACGUCACUGGGAUGCCUUCAAACACUGUUUGUUUCCAGCAUUUUGAGUUGAUCUUGAUUACCGCCCUGCUGCUGACAGCUAUUGAAAUGCUAGCCAAUAUCUGAAUUAAACCUAGUUUGGCUGAUCCAGGUAACUGAUGGUCCUGUCAGACUUACUGUUGCAUUUGUGCACUUGAACAAGCAGAGCCUUCUGAUGAUGAACAUCUGUUGACUGGAAUGAGACAAAAAAAAAAAAACCAACAAAAAAAAACAGAUGCAGAUAGAAAUUCUGUGAUGCAGAUCCAUGAGUCUUGGAUGUGCUACUUCCACAGAGAAGGAAAUAAAGCAAAUGCAGAGGGUAGGACUAGAUGAUCC